This 941-nucleotide ribosomal RNA is filed under the name Macrolepiota mastoidea. RNAcentral describes it as "LSU rRNA". It matches the Rfam family "Eukaryotic large subunit ribosomal RNA", at positions 38 to 963 of the family's 3401-position model. Lineage: Eukaryota; Fungi; Basidiomycota; Agaricomycetes; Agaricales; Agaricaceae. The record is from RNAcentral.
GCAUAUCAAUAAGCGGAGGAAAAGAAACUAACAAGGAUUCCCCCUAGUAACUGCGAGUGAAGCGGGAAAAGCUCAAAUUUAAAAUCUGGCGGUCUCUGGCCGUCCGAGUUGUAAUCUAGAGAAGUGAUGCCCGCGCUGGACCGUGUACAAGUCUCCUGGAAUGGAGCGUCAUAGAGGGUGAGAAUCCCGUCUCUGACACGGACUACCAGGGCUUUGUGGUACGCUCUCAAAGAGUCGAGUUGUUUGGGAAUGCAGCUCAAAAUGGGUGGUAAAUUCCAUCUAAAGCUAAAUAUUGGCGAGAGACCGAUAGCGAACAAGUACCGUGAGGGAAAGAUGAAAAGAACUUUGGAAAGAGAGUUAAACAGUACGUGAAAUUGCUGAAAGGGAAACGCUUGAAGUCAGUCGCGUUGGCCGGGGAUCAGCCUCGCUUUUGCGUGGUGUACUUUCCGGUUGACGGGUCAGCAUCAAUUUUGACCGCUGGAAAAAGGCUUGAGGAAUGUGGCAGCUCCGGCUGUGUUAUAGCUUCUUGUCACAUACAGCGGUUGGGAUUGAGGUACUCAGCACGCCGCAAGGCCGGGUUUCGACCACGUUCGUGCUUAGGAUGCUGGCAUAAUGGCUUUAAGCGACCCGUCUUGAAACACGGACCAAGGAGUCUAACAUGCCUGCGAGUGUUUGGGUGGAAAACCCGAGCGCGUAAUGAAAGUGAAAGUUGAGAUCCCUGUCGCGGGGAGCAUCGACGCCCGGACCAGAACUUUUGGGACGGAUCCGCGGUAGAGCAUGUAUGUUGGGACCCGAAAGAUGGUGAACUAUGCCUGAAUAGGGUGAAGCCAGAGGAAACUCUGGUGGAGGCUCGUAGCGAUUCUGACGUGCAAAUCGAUCGUCAAAUUUGGGUAUAGGGGGCGAAAGACUAAUCGAACCAUCUAGUAGCUGGGUUCCUGCCG